GAUGAACGCUGCCAGAAUGCUUAACACAUGCAAGUCAAUUUGAACUUCGGUUUGGGUGGCGGACGGGUGAGUAACGCGUAAAGAACUUGCCUCACAGAUAGGGACAACAUUUGGAAACGAAUGCUAAUACCUGAUAUUAUGAUUUUAGGGCAUCCUAGGAUUAUGAAAGCUAUAUGCGCUGUGAGAGAGCUUUGCGUCCCAUUAGCUAGUUGGAGAGGUAACGGCUCACCAAGGCGAUGAUGGGUAGCCGGCCUGAGAGGGUGAUCGGCCACAAGGGGACUGAGACACGGCCCUUACUCCUACGGGAGGCAGCAGUGGGGAAUAUUGGACAAUGGACCAAGAGUCUGAUCCAGCAAUUCUGUGUGCACGAUGAAGUUUUUCGGAAUGUAAAGUGCUUUCAGUUGGGAAGAAAAAAAUGACGGUACCAACAGAAGAAGUGACGGCUAAAUACGUG
This 454-nucleotide ribosomal RNA is filed under the name uncultured bacterium. RNAcentral's name for it is "partial 16S ribosomal RNA". It matches the Rfam family "Bacterial small subunit ribosomal RNA", at positions 28 to 507 of the family's 1533-position model. The record is from RNAcentral.